Molecule: long non-coding RNA, 3183 nt
Organism: Salvia miltiorrhiza (redroot sage)
Lineage: Eukaryota; Viridiplantae; Streptophyta; Magnoliopsida; Lamiales; Lamiaceae
Exons: 2
Source: RefSeq, a predicted model, not a curated record
UCCAAUUGCACCAAACUAACAAAAGAGAGAGGCUAAAGUCUAAAUAACAGUAGAUGGAGCCUCUUCUUAAAAAAAAGAAAAAGAAAAGAAAAGCAGCAGAUGGAGAGUUAGGAGGCCAAUAUAUAAAUAAGAAAACUUGCUCGAUAUUUCGUCAGGGCUUUGAUUCAAACCAUUUUCGCGGUCGCCGUUCCCCUCCAUUUCUGCUUUAUUCUCUCCAAGAGUAUCAAUUAUUUUGCGUCGACUUACAGCAGCAAUACCGCCACAAAAUCAAUCGAGAAUCAUGGCCUUGGAGGAGGCGCCGCUGCCUCUGAGCUACAUUACCGGAGGUGGUGUUGAAUAAGAGGAAAAACAACGAGCCGUGGGCAAUCAGAAGGAAACUACAGCAACAUCAUACAUGAGAGGGCUAAACGCCACAAUCGGGCAGUUUUUGUCAUUAAGAAUCCCGUAUCGAUGCUACGAUGCAUCAUCCACUCCAUGUAAACUCACAUUCACACACUAUGGCGAAAACUGUGUAUGUUAGCAUCCACGAUGAAAAUUAGAAAGUAACCUUGGUUUAUGAUUUCAUUUUGCAUCCUCAUAGAUACAAAUUAAUAUUUGAAUAUGCGAAUUAGAGUAUUUUUGGAAGCGCAGAUUUGGUUAAUUUGGUAUUGCUGUUUAUUGUUUUUUUUUUUUUUUUUCGGAUUUGGCCUCGAGAUGAGUUUUAUGAUCAUGAGAUUGAGAUAAAUAUUCAGUGGGUUAUUUGUUAAGAAAAAUAAAGGGAUUAUUCGUUAAAUCUUGAAGAAGGUGGAGCAUUAAUAACCUACAGGUAUGUUAAAAGUGUAUUUGGUGACUGUAUUCUAUGUUUUGGUAUUAUAAGCAUAUGAUAUAACUAUACCUUGUUCUGUUGCAAAAAAGUUUGAAGUUCACCUAGUUUGCUUUGGUUGUGGCUUCUUUAAUUCGCUGUGCAGGAGAAGUUUUGUGAGUCAAAGCUGUGUGUUAGACUGAGCUGGAUUAGCUGAAAUAAAGAUAAUGCAUUAUUAUAAGAUAGACUAAAAGGACUUAUGUCAUAGAGAUGUAAAAGUGAGUAACUCCUACUAUUGACUCUGAUUUUGUGGUAAUAAACUCGUUUUAUAAACGUUCUUGUUAGAGUGAAGCCCGUUUCCCAUUGUGAGUUGUAGAAAAUUAGGCUCUACUCUGCUCUUCAUACUGCUAGAAAGAACUUUAUAAUCCACUAGAAAAUUGAGCUUAACUGUAGUUCCAUGGGUAAGAUUCUUCAUACUGGUUUGGACUGCACUCUUUGUGGUUGCCUGCUGCUCUCCUUUUCGCCUUAUGCUAUAUUUUUCAUCUUUUGUUGUCGUCUUUUAAGAGAAUGGUAUAAACUGGUAUAGCAUAUGCUUAGCAUAAUUAUCUGUGUUUGCAGUUAUCCCAACAUUAGAACUUAGGACAGGUGAAGGACUGAAUUUACAAGAAAGGUGUAGUAAAAGUUUGACAGCAAUGGGUUCCCCUAACUGAGAACAACAUGAUUCAACAGGCACAACGACAGUACAACACCAUAUGCAUGGAAGAAUAUUGUGAAUGACAUUGCUCGUGUUGGCCAUUAUUCUAAGGCAGUCAAAAACUUUUCUCUGCCCCAUUUUGGUGAACAAUCCAGAAAAGUCUCUGCAUGGUAAGAAAAAACGAUUUGAAGAUGGAGGAGACUCUGAAAAUCGUGAGAAUCACAUAAUUGAGUUAAUUAUCAAGAUGAAUUAGCAUGAGGAAAAGAAUUUUGUGACAGAAGAAUGCUGACAGUGAUAUCAUUAUACUUGUGAAAUGGAUCUUAGGAUCUCUAUGGAGUUGUAGACUUGCUUGUUGAUUACUUGAUUGUCGUUCCUGUUUGGAGUAGCAACACUGUUUGCCUUUGAUACAGAGUUUAAUUAUCGAGUCUGAUGCUGAUGAUGUACCAAUACUUAAUUGCUGCUAUCAUAAGAGGAAUUCACGUAGCUUCUUGCCAUUAAACAAGCUCCAACUCUCAUACAAAGAUGCUCGUGACACUCUAGAGUUAGGGAUGGAAAUAAGUUGAGUAGACAUGUUUGUGUGUGCAGGUUCAAGUUACAGGAGUGUUCAUAAACAUGUGGACUUCUUUUCCCAGCCAAGUAGUAUUCAGAUAUAUUGCUCGAUCUAUACAUAGUAGAGAGAGCGCACAUUGACCAUCUUGUUACAUGUGACUUAUGUAUACAUAUAUGUGUAGUCUUGCCUGCCUUAAUGCCAGGUCAUCUGAAUUCAUCUCCUGAAACUAUGUUCUCCCAAAGGUUUGUCGUGUGCUUUGUCGCCUUCAUCGGGCAGCUUAACGGCAGAAUAAACACCAGCGCCGGCAAGAGCUCCAAGGAUUGGUGCAGUAAGGUACACCCAUAUGGCUCUAUAGUUGUUUGCAGCAAUCGCUGGCCCUAAAGUUCUCACCGGGUUCAUCGAUGCUCCGGUACUUUCCCUGCAUCACAAAGACAUCAAGAGUGUCAUGUUAUGAAAAUUUAUGGCUUUUGGUUUGAAAAUUGUGUUAAAACUUUGAAUGAUUGAUGAUCAUGGAGCUUUUUCCCCGACCACGUGCACCACUAAGUUUGAGAGAUGCAAGAUGCAUGCUCUCUCUCUCUUGUAGAAGUUAGUGAGUUUGGUUGCCGACUUUUUCCUUCCACGCAUUCUGUCUCCCACCUUUUUCGUGGAAUGAGAUUCGUUGGUGUUUUAUUUCGUAUUUCAGUUCACCACGUAAGGAGAUAGAAUCCUAACUGUACUUUAAAGUAAAAGGCAAGAGGUUUUGGAGCCUUUGACCAAACCACAACUAUGCUUAUAUUUAGUAGGAUUGUUGUGUAAUGAAUAUUGAAUAACACGUUGUUUUCAAUGUCAGUAUUAUCAUUGAAAUGAAAGAGUAUUUACAAUCAAGGGUUGGCUAUAAAGGGAAAUGUUGGUUCUGUACCUGCCUCAGUGACUCAGUCCUUCCACAUCUUUACUGCAAUUUGACAAGCAAAACUGAGUGUUCUUCUAGGAUUUCCAACCAAAUCUUGGAUGUGAUUUAAGCCUAAUGCCGCCGUGAUUUUUUCUUUAUCAUUUUCCUUUCUUUCUUUCUUUUCUUUUUAAUUCAUGUCUAAGCAUAACGUGAUUUUAGUAUUGACUCUAUCAGUCAUAAAUUUAUAAUAAUGUGAUGUUUCAAUAUUAAAGACUGGUAUUUUAAAAUCA